Long non-coding RNA from Orcinus orca (killer whale), 3831 nucleotides. RefSeq lists it as uncharacterized. Lineage: Eukaryota; Metazoa; Chordata; Mammalia; Artiodactyla; Delphinidae. The transcript is spliced from 3 exons. The record is from RefSeq and is a predicted model, not a curated record.
AAGAGAAAAUUCCAGAUAAUAACCCUGUCAAAAGCAUUUGAAAAACAUUUCAUGCAUUCUCAGUGGGUUUUUAGGAAACUUCAAGAACUCGAAGACUUUAGAGAUUUUUAGUGGAAAAACACAGUAAUUUCUACCACUGCCAAGAAAAACUUUGAGCAUAAAAUAAAUCAAAGCAAGUUCUCUCUUUUUUUUUUUUUUUGGCAGUGCUGCGUGGCUUAUGGGAUCUUAGCUUCCUGACCAGGGAUUGAACCCGCACACCCUGCACUGGGAGGUGAAGUCUUAACCACUGGACUGCCAGGGAAUUGUGACAAGAAGUUUAUAUCAGUAAUUCAAAUAGAAUCCACUGCUAAGCAGCAAAUCACAUCCCUGAAACGGGGGUCGAGUCUUCCAUGGAAGGAGUCAAGAGAAAAAAAGUUCUGGAUGAAGGGGGCGUGCAGAUAUGGAAGGAGGCAACGCAAGGCAGUGGCUUUGCUUAGGUCUGCUUGGCGAUUUCUGGGUCCUAGUUGCUCUGCAAGUCGCAGCGUCCUAUCUCCAUAGCAACCCCAGGCAGGGUUCCCCUAAGAGAAAUAACACACAUCUGUUGCCAGGAUUCUAGGGAGGAGACCAAGAAAGAUGAAAAUCCUAGAUCUGUGAUUUGGUGGAGCCUCUGCUCCUCUACCUAGCUCAGCCAAUCCAAUCUGCAGUCCAUCAGUCGCGGUUGGAAACCUGAGAACUGGUCCGACGCAAAGAGGAGGAGCCGCGACCCGGCGGGAUGAUUUUCAGGGUCUGAUAGUUUGAUUCAAGUUGCACGUUGAGGAGUGAGUCCUGCAUUAGUGGAGGGACGAUACAUUUACAGAGCUUGUGUGUGUGUGUGUGUGUGUGUGUGUGUGUGAGAGAGAGAGACAGAGAGACAGAGAGACAGAGAGAGAACGAGAGAGGGAGGGAGGGAGAGAGAGAGAAAGGAGGGAUGGAGGGACGGAGCGAGGGGGAGACCUUGGUAAUGUUGAGGUGCAGGUGACAAUGAGACUCUCGUUUGCAGAACAUCAGAGUCCAAGACUCAGAGGGCAAAGGUUUCUCAUCUGUGCCAACCAAACUUGGGCAACUUUUGAACAAUAAACAAGGAAGUCCUGAUUUUUGCUCUUCUCCCUCAUGUGGAAUCUGCCAGAUGAGUAGGCAGAAAAUUACCUUCAAGGAGAAGGCAGUGCAGAAGCUUACCCUAUAUAAAUAGACAAUUCAUGGGUUACCUGUUUCCUAAUAAUUGAAAUUCAAAUUAACUCUAAAGCUAUAUUAGUAUAAUGUAACCUUUAUUUGAUAAUAUGAAUGUGAAUUCAUAAUUUUGCAAUAUUUAAGAUCAUGACUAUUAAUUCAUAUUAUUCCAUCUCCAACAUAAAGAAGGUAUAGAGGAUGGAACCAUAUCUGGCCUUGACUAAAAACUGUAAAUUAAAGUCUUUUUUUUAAGAUUAUAAUUAAAAAAAAUUUUUUUGGCCACGUGGCUUGUGGGAUUUUUAGUUCCCUGACCAUGGGCAGGGAAGAGCAGUGAGAGCAGAAGAGUCCUAACCACUGGACCACCAGGGAAUUCCCUAAUUAAAGUCUUUAAUGUUAAUUUGUUCUGUAUCUCUCUCUCUUUUAAAAUAAACCAAUUAAUACUUGAUAUAACUUCCAAUUAGCGACAUGUUGGUCAUAAAUUCUAAUUUCAUGAAAGAGCAUCAUACUUACCUCCCACCCCCAGUUUGGUGGGAGAAGCACAGAACUCUUCAAUCAUUUGUUCAAAGCUGUGGAUAUUUACCCUUCCCAAAAUACACAUGGGUGUGCACACACCAAAUGUUGCAUGUAAUUUCUUCUGGUUCAGGGACUCCUUGAAGUCAGAGUCCCAGAUUAGAACUCUUGGAAUAAGACUCGGAAAAACAGAAUGAAAGGUAAACUGGAAUUAUAAAUUGGAGAUUUUUUGUAAUUGAUACAAAGGUUGAAGGGGAGAUAGCAUUUUUUCCCCAUCAUAGUUCUAUUUUCUCCACCCUUGAAGCUGACAAGAUAUGAUGGAGGAUUUUUUCUUGGACUGACAAGCCAGAGCAGGGUGGUAGGACCAGAAAAAAGGCAUGAUAAGGAACAGUUUUUUGCAUCUAUAUUCAUGAGAGAUCUUAGUCCAUAGUUUUCUUUUCUGCAAUGUCUUUGUCUGGUUUUGUUAUUAGAGUAAUUCUGGCUUCAAAGAAUGAAUUAGGAAGUAUUUCCCCUGCUUCUGUUUUCUGGAAGAGAUUGUAGAGAAUUGAUCAAAUUCACCUGUGAACCCAUCUGGGCCUGUUUUCAAAGAUUAUUAAUUAUUGAUUCAAUUUCCUCAUAUAUAUGCCUAUAUAUGUGUGUGUGUGUUUUGGCAGACUGUAUUUUUCAAGGAAUUGCUCCAUUUUAUCUAGGUUAUCAAAUUUACGAGCAUAGACUUGUUCAUAGUAUCUUCUAUUAUCCUUUUAAUGUCCAUGGGAUUUCUAGUGAUGUUACAUCUUUUUUUUUUUUUUUUUUUUUGCGGUAUGCGGGCCUCUCACUGUUGUGGCCUGUCCUGUUGCGGAGCACAGGCUUCGGACAUGGCUCACGGGCCCAGCCGCUCCGCGGCAUGUGGGAUCUUCCCGGACCAGGGCACGAACCCGUGUCCCCUGCAUCGCAGAUGGACUCUCAACCACUGCACCACCAGGGAAGCCCCCCUUGGAACUUUUCAAUGAUCAGUGAAGUUUUAGUUUUCUAAGCUGUUGGAGGGGAUGCCCUAUUCCAAUAAUGAUCUGCCCAAAAUUUUAACUAAAGGUGAAAUGGAGAAACAUUUUAGAAAGACCUGUAUAAUUGUGAUGUCGUAAUUUGUUCCUCUUCUUCACUCAAAGUAAUCAAUUCAUUUUUUUCAUUUUGUCAUUUGGAUCUCAAAGAAUUGAAGUAAUUGGGAGCACAUCAUAUCAUCACAUGAAAUUGUACCAUGUUAUAUUACCUAGGUCUGUCUGCUGAGGGACCUGGAAGCAAUGAGAAGUCAGAGCAAUGAGCAUACCUAAAGCAUACCUAAAUCAGUCACAAUCAAUGACUGAUUGCAGUGGAGCGGCAAGGAAAGUACAAAUGAGCCUAGAACAUCUUCCUAUAUCAGAAAGAACUGAAAGAAUACUGGAAGCAUGUCAAAAGCACACCAGAGCCAACUUGGACUUAUUGCAACUGACAAAUUCUGGUACAUUUUAAAUAUUAAAAUAAAUAAAGGUAGUACAGAUUGUACUGUUUAAAUAAAAAAGAAGACAUGAGCCUAAUACGAGGCAUAGGCAAACUUUUCGGUAAUGGGCCAGUAAUUGUUUUAGUUUUGCGGCCCAAAUAUUAUGUGUUUAUAUAACAAGAAAGAAAAAACUUUCCACAGCUUUUCUAUUAUAUUUUAUUCAAACUAGAUUAUAAUUUAAAAUAAUUCUUUGUAAUAUAUGUCUACUAAAGACAAGGGUAGACUCACAGAUGUUGGGAGACAGUUUACAGUCUUAGGUAUGUUUAUUUUCUAUAGACAUGUUUCUUUAGAUGCUUUACUCAAACUCUAAUCAACCCAACAUCAAUAAAUAACUUAUUUUGCUUGGCUAAAAAAUGAAUCGCUGCAUAUCUAUUUUGAUUGCAGCCUCAUCUUUUACUUUUGUGAAGCGACUUUGUUGAGAUGAAAUAUUCUGUUUAAAAUUUUAUGUUUUUUCUGUCCAUUUCUUUCCUCUGAGUUGCGAGUAUUGCGAUUACUGCUUAGUGUGGUUAUAUUCAUGCAUAUCGUAUUCUUUUAGGUUAGCUGUAGUGUCAUUGUGUAAUAAACACGAUGUUUUACCUGUUCUUCAAUAAAAGUAAUCCAUUCUCCACUGUGCCUUAAAAGCAUGA